This 204-nucleotide long non-coding RNA is filed under the name Gallus gallus (chicken). The record is from RNAcentral. Lineage: Eukaryota; Metazoa; Chordata; Aves; Galliformes; Phasianidae.
UGGUGUCCUCCUGGUCCGAGGCGAUGCCCGUCCGGGGACUGCUGCUCUGCUCGGAAUCUCUCUCGCGGACGAAGUAGGCCAAGUAGAGGUCGAGCUCUUUGACAGAGACGCUGAUGUGGUGGGGCUGGAUGCAGAGGAUGGGGUUGGUGCAUUGGCCCGCCUUGACCAGCCGCUCGCCGUCGGUGCUCUCCAGCGGGAUCCCUU